AGCGAACGCUGGCGGCAGGCUUAACACAUGCAAGUCGAGCGGGCGUAGCAAUACGUCAGCGGCAGACGGGUGAGUAACGCGUGGGAACGUACCUUUUUGGUUCGGAACAACACAGGGAAACUUGUGCUAAUACCGGAUAAGCCCUUACGGGGAAAGAUUUUAUCGCCGAAAGAUCGGCCCGCGUCUGAUUAGCUAGUUGGUGAGGUAACGGCUCACCAAGGCGACGAUCAGUAGCUGGUCUGAGAGGAUGAUCAGCCACAUUGGGACUGAGCACGGCCCAAACUCCUACGGAGGCAGCAGUGGGAAUAUUGGACAAUGGGACGC
Molecule: ribosomal RNA, 324 nt
Filed under: uncultured bacterium
Lineage: Bacteria
Description: bacterial SSU rRNA
Rfam family: Bacterial small subunit ribosomal RNA
Source: RNAcentral